This 449-nucleotide ribosomal RNA is filed under the name uncultured bacterium. RNAcentral describes it as "partial 16S ribosomal RNA". It matches the Rfam family "Bacterial small subunit ribosomal RNA", at positions 29 to 523 of the family's 1533-position model. The record is from RNAcentral.
AAUGAACGCUGGCGGCAUGCCUAACACAUGCAAGUCGAACGAAGGCUUCGGCCUUAGUGGCGCACGGGUGCGUAACGCGUGGGAAUCUGCCCUCAGGUUCGGAAUAACAGCGAGAAAUUGCUGCUAAUACCGGAUGAUAUCGCGAGAUCAAAGAUUUAUCGCCUGAGGAUGAGCCCGCGUAGGAGUAGCUAGUUGGUGUGGUAAAGGCGCACCAAGGCGACGAUCCUUAGCUGGUCUGAGAGGAUGAUCAGCCACACCGGGACUGAGACACGGCCCAGACUCCCCAGGCAGGCAGCGGUGCGGAAUAUUGAAUAUUGGGGGAAGUCCUGAUCCAGCAAUGCCGGGUGACUAAUGUAGGCUCGAGGGUUGUAAAGCUCUUUUCCACGGGAUGAUAAUGACAGUACCGGGAGAAUAAGCUCCGGCUAAGUCCGUGCCAGCAGCCGCCGUAA